RNAcentral lists this ribosomal RNA (382 nucleotides) under Strombidiidae sp. RNAcentral describes it as "partial small subunit ribosomal RNA". It matches the Rfam family "Eukaryotic small subunit ribosomal RNA", at positions 582 to 975 of the family's 1831-position model. The record is from RNAcentral. Lineage: Eukaryota; Ciliophora; Spirotrichea; Strombidiidae.
AUUCCAGCUCCAAUAGCGUAUAUUAAAGUUGUUGCAGUUAAAAAGCUCGUAGUUGGAUUUCUGGGAGGGUGCCAAUGUCCGCCGACGUGCGUGCGCAGCGGCGCCCUUCCAUCCUUCUGUUAACGCCUCUUGGCAUUCAUUUGCUGGUGGCGGGCUCAGAUAUUUUACCUUGAGAAAAUUAGAGUGUUUCAGGCAGGCUAGGCCGGAAUACAUUAGCAUGGAAUAAUGGAAUAGGACUACGGUCUCUUUGUUGGUUUGAGGGACUGCAGUAAUGAUUAAUAGGGAUAGUUGGGGGCAUUAGUAUUUAAUUGUCAGAGGUGGAAUUCUCGGAUUUGUUAAAGACUAACUUAUGCGAAAGCAUUUGCCAAGGAUGUUUUCAUUG